RNAcentral lists this ribosomal RNA (2863 nucleotides) under Candidatus Woesearchaeota archaeon CG10_big_fil_rev_8_21_14_0_10_44_13. RNAcentral describes it as "bacterial LSU rRNA". It matches the Rfam family "Archaeal large subunit ribosomal RNA". Lineage: Archaea; Nanobdellati; Candidatus Woesearchaeota. The record is from RNAcentral.
GGUGGAUGACUUGGCUCUGGUGCCGAAGAAGGGUGUGACAAGCUGCACAAAGCUUUGGCGAGAUGCACGUAAUCUUUGAACCAAAGAUCCCUUAAUGAGACUUCUCGUAAAAUCCGAAAGGAUGGGGAACGCAGGGAAUUGAAGCGUCUUAGUACCUGCAGGAAAAGAAAUCAAUCGAGAUGCUGUGAGUAAAGGCGAUCGAAAACAGCAAAAGGCAAACUGAAUCCGUUGCAGUAAUGUAAUGGAGAUGUGGUGUGAUGGACUGUUUUUUAGGCCUAACCGAAAGAUUCGAAGUUUUCUGGAAAGAAACGCCGUAGAGAGUGAUAGCCUCGUAGAAGAACGUCGGUGGCCGUAGCAGUAUCCUGAGUACUGCUUAUCGGAUAUUAAGCAGGAAUUUGGGAGGCACUAACUUCCAACCUUAAAUACAACCAGAGACCGAUAGCAAACGAGUACAGCGAUGGAAAGUUGAAAAGAACUCUUGACAGAGAUUCAAAAGAGCCUGAAACCUAAUAGUUAUAGUGUGGCAGUGCUCUACGGAGUUCUGCCGCGCGUUUUGAAUAACGUGCCGGGGAGUGUAUUUGAGUGGCGAGGGUAAUUCUGCAAAGAUGCACCCAAAGCGAAAGCGAUAGCUCGCAAGCAAUGAGGAGCAAGGUAUGAAAGUGCCUUGAGUCACUUGGAUACGACCCGAAGCCAAGCGAUCUAACCCUGGGUAAGGUGAAGCGCGGGUAAAACCGCGUGGAGGCCUGCAGAGGUUCUACGUGCAAGUGUUCUUCUAACCUGGGGCUAGGGGUGAAAAGCCAAUCGAGCUUGGUGAUAGCUGGUUCCUACCGAAGUUGGCCGCAGUCAAGUCUUGAAUGAGACAGCCACGAUUGUAGAGCUACGGAUCAGGGGCUUAGGGAGGGAAACCUCUCGGCCCUUUGUCCAACUCCGAAUGUUUUGGCGUCAUAGACUUCAAGAAAUGGGGAUCCGGGGUAACCUUGGAUUCCGAGAGGGGAACAACCCAGACUGCAGUUAAGGUCCCAAAAUAUCAACUAAGUGUGAAAGGGUGAAAAGUGUCUACAGCCUAAGACAGCGAGGAGGUUGGCUUAGAAGCAGCCAUCCUUUAAAAAGUGCGUAACAGCUUACUUGUCAAGGUUGUAGGCCUUGAAAAUGGACGGGGCUAAGUUGAUUACCGAUACUGUAGACAUCCGAAAGGAUUGUGGUAGGUAGGCGUUCUGCUAGGGCAGAAGCAUUUCCGAGAGGAAGUGUGGACCUGGCAGAAAUGAGAAUCCCGGUCAAAGUAAGAUCAUAGCAGAGUGAGAAUCUCUGCCACCGAAAGGGCAAGGGUUCCUUGACAAUAAAGGUUAGUCAAGGGUUAGUUGGUCCUAACUGAACUCCUAACAGGAGGGAUGGAAAGGGAAACAGGUUAAUAUUCCUGUACUGCUUUAGUAUGUGCGGCAACGCAAGUUCAGUUUCCGACAUUUUGGGCUAGAUCAACAUGAAACGUCUUUUAUGUUAACCAAGAUAAAUCUGGGGAGUAUCGUAAUGAUGAGAUCCAGAUUAAACUUGGGAAUAGUAUUCCUUAUGGAGUAUUUGAUUGAUGCCUGGAGUCCAUGAAAAGGGAACUGAAAAAAAUCUUCAGCAUCCAUACCCAGAACCAGCACAGGUGCCCCUAGGUGAGAAACCUAAGGUGUCAAGGCGAUAAUCCGAUUAAGGGAACUCGGCAAAUUGGCCCCGUGCCUUCGGUAUAAGGGGUCCCUGCGUUUGUUAGCUAAGCUAGCGAUUGCAGGGUGCAAUGACUAAGAUGGUCCGACUGUUUAACAAAAACACAACUUUCUGCUAGCCCGUAAGGGUGCGUACAGAAGGUGACGUCUGCCCAGUGCCAGUACUUCAAACUCCUUUUCAAGGGAGCUAAGAGCUGGUAAACGGCGGGAGUAACUAUAACUCUCUUAAGGUAGCGUAAUACCUUGCCGUUUGAAUGACGGCUUGCAUGAAUGGCGUAACGAGAUUGUCACUGUCCCUAAUCGGAAGCCUCUGAAAACUUAUUCUGGUGCAAAGGCCAGAGAUAUCCAGUGGGAAGCGAAGACCCCGUGAAACUUUACUGUAGCUUGUAGCUGUGAUGUAGAUCCUGAUGUGCAGCGUAGAUGGUAGUUGCUAAAGCUUAGCCGCUAGGUUAAGUGUAGACGACAAUGAGACACCAUCCUUUGGGAUUUACAUUGCUCACUUUAGAAAUAAAGAACAACUAUUGGCGGACAGUUUGGCUGGGGUGGCACGCCGCUAAAAAGAUAUCAGCGGCGCCCAAUGGUUGGCUCAACCCGGUUGGAAAUCGGGUGUUGAGUGCAAGAGCAAAAGCCAGCCUGAUUGGAUUGUCAAAACUAAGCAAUCCAAAGACGAAAGUCUGGUCUAGCGAACCUUUACAUCUCCUUAGUGGGGGGUAGAGAUGACUGAAAAGUUACUCCGGGGAUAACAGAGUUGUCGCGCCCGAGAGCUCCUAUCGACGGCGCGGCUUGCUACAUCGAUGUCGGCUCUUCCUAUCCUGGUCGUGCAGAAGCGGCCAAGGGUGAGGGUGUUCACCUAUUAAAAGGGAUCGUGAGCUGGGUUCAGAACGCUGUGAGGCAGUUUGUUUGAUAUCUACUGGAUAUGUCGAUGUCUGAGGGGAAGGAACUUCUAGUACGAGAGGAACGAAGUCUCGAGGCCUCUGGUCUAACGGUUGUCCGACAGGGCAGGCCGUGCAGCUACGCCUUUUGGGAUAAGUGCUGAAAGCAUCUAAGCACGAAGCCCUCCUCGAAAAGAGACAUCAUAGAACCGCCGCAGAAGACGGCGUUGAUAGAACUGGUGUGUACGCACGAAGGCAACGACGUGUUCAGCACGCAGUUACUAAUAG